GAUGAACGCUGGCGGCGUGCCUAAUACAUGCAAGUCGAGCGGUAAGGCUUUCACUCUGUAUUUAAUGAGUUGAAUAUAGUGUGAAAGUACACGAGCGGCGGACGGCUGAGUAACGCGUAGGAACGUACCCCAAAGUGAGGGAUAAGCACCGGAAACGGUGUCUAAUACCGCAUGUGAUCUUCGGAUUAAAGCUUUAUGCGCUUUGGGAGCGGCCUGCGUAAGAUUAGUUUGUUGGUGAGGUAAUGGCUCACCAAGACUACGAUCUUUAGCUGGUCUGAGAGGAUGAUCAGCCAGACUGGGACUGAGACACGGCCCAGACUCCUACGGGAGGCAGCAGUAGGGAAUUUUCCACAAUGGACGAAAGUCUGAUGGAGCAACGCCGCGUGCAGGAUGAAGGCCUCGGUUGUAAACUGCUUUAUCUGUGACGAUUAUGACGGUAGCAGAUGAAUAAGGAAUCGGCUAACUCCGUGCCAGCAGCCGCGGUAAUC
This 488-nucleotide ribosomal RNA is filed under the name uncultured bacterium. RNAcentral describes it as "bacterial SSU rRNA". It matches the Rfam family "Bacterial small subunit ribosomal RNA", at positions 28 to 525 of the family's 1533-position model. The record is from RNAcentral.